GGGUUGUGAGGUUAAGCGACUAAGCGUACACGGUGGAUGCCCUGGCAGUCAGAGGCGAUGAAGGACGUGCUAAUCUGCGAUAAGCGUCGGUAAGGUGAUAUGAACCGUUAUAACCGGCGAUUUCCGAAUGGGGAAACCCAGUGUGAUUCGUCACACUAUCAUUAACUGAAUCCAUAGGUUAAUGAGGCGAACCGGGGGAACUGAAACAUCUAAGUACCCCGAGGAAAAGAAAUCAACCGAGAUUCCCCCAGUAGCGGCGAGCGAACGGGGAGCAGCCCAGAGCCUGAAUCAGUGUGUGUGUUAGUGGAAGCGUCUGGAAAGGCGCGCGAUACAGGGUGACAGCCCCGUACACAAAAAUGCACAUGCUGUGAGCUCGAUGAGUAGGGCGGGACACGUGGUAUCCUGUCUGAAUAUGGGGGGACCAUCCUCCAAGGCUAAAUACUCCUGACUGACCGAUAGUGAACCAGUACCGUGAGGGAAAGGCGAAAAGAACCCCGGCGAGGGGAGUGAAAAAGAACCUGAAACCGUGUACGUACAAGCAGUGGGAGCACGCUUAGGCGUGUGACUGCGUACCUUUUGUAUAAUGGGUCAGCGACUUAUAUUCUGUAGCAAGGUUAACCGAAUAGGGGAGCCGAAGGGAAACCGAGUCUUAACUGGGCGUUAAGUUGCAGGGUAUAGACCCGAAACCCGGUGAUCUAGCCAUGGGCAGGUUGAAGGUUGGGUAACACUAACUGGAGGACCGAACCGACUAAUGUUGAAAAAUUAGCGGAUGACUUGUGGCUGGGGGUGAAAGGCCAAUCAAACCGGGAGAUAGCUGGUUCUCCCCGAAAGCUAUUUAGGUAGCGCCUCGUGAAUUCAUCUCCGGGGGUAGAGCACUGUUUCGGCAAGGGGGUCAUCCCGACUUACCAACCCGAUGCAAACUGCGAAUACCGGAGAAUGUUAUCACGGGAGACACACGGCGGGUGCUAACGUCCGUCGUGAAGAGGGAAACAACCCAGACCGCCAGCUAAGGUCCCAAAGUCAUGGUUAAGUGGGAAACGAUGUGGGAAGGCCCAGACAGCCAGGAUGUUGGCUUAGAAGCAGCCAUCAUUUAAAGAAAGCGUAAUAGCUCACUGGUCGAGUCGGCCUGCGCGGAAGAUGUAACGGGGCUAAACCAUGCACCGAAGCUGCGGCAGCGACACUAUGUGUUGUUGGGUAGGGGAGCGUUCUGUAAGCCUGCGAAGGUGUGCUGUGAGGCAUGCUGGAGGUAUCAGAAGUGCGAAUGCUGACAUAAGUAACGAUAAAGCGGGUGAAAAGCCCGCUCGCCGGAAGACCAAGGGUUCCUGUCCAACGUUAAUCGGGGCAGGGUGAGUCGACCCCUAAGGCGAGGCCGAAAGGCGUAGUCGAUGGGAAACAGGUUAAUAUUCCUGUACUUGGUGUUACUGCGAAGGGGGGACGGAGAAGGCUAUGUUGGCCGGGCGACGGUUGUCCCGGUUUAAGCGUGUAGGCUGGUUUUCCAGGCAAAUCCGGAAAAUCAAGGCUGAGGCGUGAUGACGAGGCACUACGGUGCUGAAGCAACAAAUGCCCUGCUUCCAGGAAAAGCCUCUAAGCAUCAGGUAACAUCAAAUCGUACCCCAAACCGACACAGGUGGUCAGGUAGAGAAUACCAAGGCGCUUGAGAGAACUCGGGUGAAGGAACUAGGCAAAAUGGUGCCGUAACUUCGGGAGAAGGCACGCUGAUAUGUAGGUGAAGUCCCUCGCGGAUGGAGCUGAAAUCAGUCGAAGAUACCAGCUGGCUGCAACUGUUUAUUAAAAACACAGCACUGUGCAAACACGAAAGUGGACGUAUACGGUGUGACGCCUGCCCGGUGCCGGAAGGUUAAUUGAUGGGGUCAGCGCAAGCGAAGCUCUUGAUCGAAGCCCCGGUAAACGGCGGCCGUAACUAUAACGGUCCUAAGGUAGCGAAAUUCCUUGUCGGGUAAGUUCCGACCUGCACGAAUGGCGUAAUGAUGGCCAGGCUGUCUCCACCCGAGACUCAGUGAAAUUGAACUCGCUGUGAAGAUGCAGUGUACCCGCGGCAAGACGGAAAGACCCCGUGAACCUUUACUAUAGCUUGACACUGAACAUUGAGCCUUGAUGUGUAGGAUAGGUGGGAGGCUUUGAAGUGUGGACGCCAGUCUGCAUGGAGCCGGCCUUGAAAUACCACCCUUUAAUGUUUGAUGUUCUAACGUUGACCCGUGAUCCGGGUUGCGGACAGUGUCUGGUGGGUAGUUUGACUGGGGCGGUCUCCUCCUAAAGAGUAACGGAGGAGCACGAAGGUUGGCUAAUCCUGGUCGGACAUCAGGAGGUUAGUGCAAUGGCAUAAGCCAGCUUGACUGCGAGCGUGACGGCGCGAGCAGGUGCGAAAGCAGGUCAUAGUGAUCCGGUGGUUCUGAAUGGAAGGGCCAUCGCUCAACGGAUAAAAGGUACUCCGGGGAUAACAGGCUGAUACCGCCCAAGAGUUCAUAUCGACGGCGGUGUUUGGCACCUCGAUGUCGGCUCAUCACAUCCUGGGGCUGAAGUAGGUCCCAAGGGUAUGGCUGUUCGCCAUUUAAAGUGGUACGCGAGCUGGGUUUAGAACGUCGUGAGACAGUUCGGUCCCUAUCUGCCGUGGGCGCUGGAGAACUGAGGGGGGCUGCUCCUAGUACGAGAGGACCGGAGUGGACGCAUCACUGGUGUUCGGGUUGUCAUGCCAAUGGCACUGCCCGGUAGCUAAAUGCGGAAGAGAUAAGUGCUGAAAGCAUCUAAGCACGAAACUUGCCCCGAGAUGAGUUCUCCCUGACUCCUUGAGAGUCCUGAAGGAACGUUGAAGACGACGACGUUGAUAGGCCGGGUGUGUAAGCGCAGCGAUGCGUUGAGCUAACCGGUACUAAUGAACCGUGAGGCUUAACCUUACAACGCCGAAGGUGUUU
This 2930-nucleotide ribosomal RNA is filed under the name Escherichia coli. RNAcentral describes it as "23S ribosomal RNA". It matches the Rfam family "Bacterial large subunit ribosomal RNA". Lineage: Bacteria; Pseudomonadati; Pseudomonadota; Gammaproteobacteria; Enterobacterales; Enterobacteriaceae. The record is from RNAcentral.